AAAAUUAAGAUAUAAGCUGCUAUAUGCAUUUAUCAGUAUGUUUUAAUAAAAUAAAAUGUAUUUUAGCAAUGCAUAAUCAAGAAGGAAGAGAUUAAUGAACCCUACCCUCUUACAAUGAACAAAACAUGGACACUCUCGGGAUGAUCCUUUUGCUUUCAUUAAGAGUUUCAAGAUGUGGGUCUGAUUGACUGGGGUGUGAAAUGUAACAGCCAAUGGUGUACUUAAGCUAAGACUGUCAGUCCCAAUAUUCAAGAGGAAAAACCCCUACAUAAACAAAUACAUGGGCGCAGACAUUUUGGAC
Molecule: long non-coding RNA, 301 nt
Organism: Saccostrea cuccullata (small rock oyster)
Lineage: Eukaryota; Metazoa; Mollusca; Bivalvia; Ostreida; Ostreidae
Exons: 3
Source: RefSeq, a predicted model, not a curated record